This 433-nucleotide ribosomal RNA is filed under the name uncultured bacterium. RNAcentral's name for it is "partial 16S ribosomal RNA". It matches the Rfam family "Bacterial small subunit ribosomal RNA", at positions 29 to 507 of the family's 1533-position model. The record is from RNAcentral.
AACGAACGCUGGCGGCAUGCCUAACACAUGCAAGUCGAACGAGACCUUCGGGUCUAGUGGCGCACGGGUGCGUAACGCGUGGGAACCUGCCCUUAGGUUCGGAAUAACUCCCCGAAAGGGGUGCUAAUACCGGAUAAUGUCUUCGGACCAAAGAUUUAUCGCCUUUGGAUGGGCCCGCGUUGGAUUAGCUCGUUGGUAGGGUAAAAGCCUACCAAGGCGACGAUCCAUAGCUGGUCUGAGAGGAUGAUCAGCCACACUGGGACUGAGACACGGCCCAGACUCCUACGGGAGGCAGCAGUGGGGAAUAUUGGACAAUGGGCGAAAGCCUGAUCCAGCAAUGCCGCGUGAGUGAUGAAGGCCUUAGGGUUGUAAAGCUCUUUUACCAGGGAUGAUAAUGACAGUACCGGGAGAAUAAGCUCCGGCUAACUCCGUG